CGUGAGUAACCUGCCCUUGACUCUGGGAUAAGCCUGGGAAACUGGGUCUAAUACCGGAUACGACCAUCUGGCGCAUGUCAUGGUGGUGGAAAGCUUUUGUGGUUUUGGAUGGACUCGCGGCCUAUCAGCUUGUUGGUGGGGUAAUGGCCUACCAAGGCGACGACGGGUAGCCGGCCUGAGAGGGUGACCGGCCACACUGGGACUGAGACACGGCCCAGACUCCUACGGGAGGCAGCAGUGGGGAAUAUUGCACAAUGGGCGCAAGCCUGAUGCAGCGACGCCGCGUGAGGGAUGACGGCCUUCGGGUUGUAAACCUCUUUCAGUAGGGAAGAAGCGAAAGUGUUUUGUACCUGCAGAAGAAGCGCCGGCUAACUACGUGCCAGCAGCCGCGGUAAUACGUAGGGCGCAAGCGUUAUCCGGAAUUAUUGGGCGUAAAGAGCUCGUAGGCGGUUUGUCGCGUCUGCUGUGAAAGACCGGGGCUCAACUCCGGUUCUGCAGUGGGUACGGGCAGACUAGAGUGCAGUAGGGGAGACUGGAAUUCCUGGUGUAGCGGUGAAAUGCGCAGAUAUCAGGAGGAACACCGAUGGCGAAGGCAGGUCUCUGGGCUGUAACUGACGCUGAGGAGCGAAAGCAUGGGGAGCGAACAGGAUUAGAUACCCUGGUAGUCCAUGCCGUAAACGUUGGGCACUAGGUGUGGGGGACAUUCCACGUUUUCCGCGCCGUAGCUAACGCAUUAAGUGCCCCGCCUGGGGAGUACGGCCGCAAGGCUAAAACUCAAAGGAAUUGACGGGGGCCCGCACAAGCGGCGGAGCAUGCGGAUUAAUUCGAUGCAACGCGAAGAACCUUACCAAGGCUUGACAUGAACCGGAAAGACCUGGAAACAGGUGCCCCGCUUGCGGUCGGUUUACAGGUGGUGCAUGGUUGUCGUCAGCUCGUGUCGUGAGAUGUUGGGUUAAGUCCCGCAACGAGCGCAACCCUCGUUCUAUGUUGCCAGCGCGUUAUGGCGGGGACUCAUAGGAGACUGCCGGGGUCAACUCGGAGGAAGGUGGGGACGACGUCAAAUCAUCAUGCCCCUUAUGUCUUGGGCUUCACGCAUGCUACAAUGGCCGGUACAAAGGGUUGCGAUACUGUGAGGUGGAGCUAAUCCCAAAAAGCCGGUCUCAGUUCGGAUUGGGGUCUGCAACUCGACCCCAUGAAGUCGGAGUCGCUAGUAAUCGCAGAUCAGCAACGCUGCGGUGAAUACGUUCCCGGGCCUUGUACACACCGCCCGUCAAGUCACGAAAGUUGGUAACACCCGAAGCCGGUGGCCUAACCC
RNAcentral lists this ribosomal RNA (1315 nucleotides) under Paenarthrobacter sp. Its description in RNAcentral is "bacterial SSU rRNA". It matches the Rfam family "Bacterial small subunit ribosomal RNA", at positions 116 to 1441 of the family's 1533-position model. Lineage: Bacteria; Bacillati; Actinomycetota; Actinomycetes; Micrococcales; Micrococcaceae. The record is from RNAcentral.